Molecule: ribosomal RNA, 444 nt
Filed under: uncultured bacterium
Lineage: Bacteria
Description: bacterial SSU rRNA
Rfam family: Bacterial small subunit ribosomal RNA
Source: RNAcentral
GUGAGGAAUAUUGGACAAUGGGCGCAAGCCUGAUCCAGCCAUGCCGCGUGCAGGAAGACGCAUCUAUGGUGUGUAAACUGCUUUUGUACGGGAAGAAACACUCCCUCGUGAGGGAGCUUGACGGUACCGUAAGAAUAAGGAUCGGCUAACUCCGUGCCAGCAGCCGCGGUAAUACGGAGGAUCCAAGCGUUAUCCGGAAUCAUUGGGUUUAAAGGGUACGUAGGCGGUUUAAUAAGUCAGUGGUGAAAGCCCAUCGCUCAACGAUGGAACGGCAAUUGAUACUGUUAGACUUGAAUUACAAGGAAGUAACUAGAAUAUGUAGUGUAGCGGUGAAAUGCUUAGAUAUUACAUGGAAUACCAAUUGCGAAGGCAGGUUACUACUUGUGGAUUGACGCUGAUGGACGAAAGCGUGGGGAGCGAACAGGAUUAGAUACCCUGUAGUCC